AGAGUUUGAUCCUGGCUCAGGAUGAACGCUGGCGGCGUAUCUAAGGCAUGCAAGUCGAACGGGCAGAUUGAUUCCGCAAGGAUUUGAUCUGUCAGUGGCAAACGGGUGAGUAACACAUUGGUAACCUACCCCAAAGUUCGGAAUAACGUUCCGAAAGGAACGCUAAUACCGGAUGUGGUCCCGCAUCUCAUGAUGCGGGAAGAAAGCCCAAAAGGCGCUUCGGGAGGGACCUAUGGCUUAUCAGCUAGUUGGCGGGGUAAUAGCCCACCAAGGCUACGACGAGUAACGGGUGUGAGAGCACGACCCGUCUCACUGGGACUGAGACACUGCCCAGACACCUACGGGUGGCUGCAGUCAAGAAUAUUCCACAAUGGGGGAAACCCUGAUGGAGCGACGCCGCGUGCAGGAUGAAGGGCUUCGGCCUGUAAACUGCUUUUCUAAGGGACGAAGCUUCGGCUGACGGUACCUUGGGAAUAAGAGGUUGCUAACUCUGUGCCAGCAGCAGCGGUAAUACAGAGACCUCGAGCGUUAUCCGGAUUUAUUGGGCGUAAAGGGUCCGCAGGUUGUCUGUUAAGUUUCUCGUCAAAUCCUUGGGCUCAACCCAGGAACCGCGAGGAAAACUGGCAGACUAGAGGGUGGGAGAGGCAAGCAGAAUUACCGGUGUAGUAGUAAAAUGCGUUAAUAUCGGUAAGAAUACCAAAGGCGAAGGCAGCUUGCUGGAACACUUCUGACACUCAGGGACGAAAGCGUGGGGAGCGAAGCGGAUUAGAUACCCGCGUAGUCCACGCCCUAAACGAUGGAUGCUGGAUUUUGGGAGUAUCGACCCUCCCAGAGUCGUCAAAACAAGCUAACGCGUUAAGCAUCCCGCCUGGGGAGUACGGUCGCAAGACUAAAACUCAAAGGAAUUGACGG
Molecule: ribosomal RNA, 912 nt
Filed under: uncultured Parcubacteria group bacterium
Lineage: Bacteria
Description: bacterial SSU rRNA
Rfam family: Bacterial small subunit ribosomal RNA
Source: RNAcentral